This 1043-nucleotide ribosomal RNA is filed under the name uncultured archaeon. Its description in RNAcentral is "bacterial SSU rRNA". It matches the Rfam family "Archaeal small subunit ribosomal RNA", at positions 1 to 1054 of the family's 1478-position model. The record is from RNAcentral.
UCUGGUUGAUCCUGCCGGAGGCCACUGCUAUCAGAGUUCGAUUAAGCCAUGCGAGUCGAGAGGUGCAAGACCUCGGCAUACUGCUCAGUAACACGUGGACAACCUACCCUACAGAAGGGGAUAACCCCGGGAAACUGGGGAUAAUACCCUAUAGACUAUGGAUGCUGGAAUGCUCUGUAGCCGAAAGGUCCGCCGCUGUAGGAUGGGUCUGCGGCCGAUUAGGUUGUUGUUGGGGUAACGGCCCAACAAGCCUGUAAUCGGUACGGGUUGUGGGAGCAAGAGCCCGGAGAUGGAUUCUGAGACACGAAUCCAGGCCCUACGGGGCGCAGCAGGCGCGAAAACUUUGCAAUGCGGGAAACCGUGACAAGGGAACUCUGAGUGCCCGUAAAAUCGGGCUGUCCAUCGGUUUAAAUAACCGGUGAAGAAAGGGCCGGGCAAGACCGGUGCCAGCCGCCGCGGUAAUACCGGCGGCUCGAGUGGUGGCCACUAUUACUGGGCUUAAAGCGUUCGUAGCUGGUUUGUUAAGUCUCUGGGGAAAUCUUCCGGCUUAACCGGAAGGCGUCUCAGGGAUACUGGCAGACUAGGGACCGGGAGAGGUGAGAGGUACUCCAGGGGUAGGAGUGAAAUCCUGUAAUCCUUGGGGGACCACCUGUGGCGAAGGCGUCUCACCAGAACGGCUCCGACAGUGAGGGACGAAAGCUGGGGGAGCAAACCGGAUUAGAUACCCGGGUAGUCCCAGCCGUAAACGAUGUGCGUUAGGUGUAUCGGUGACCACGAGUCACCGAGGUGCCGAAGAGAAAUCGUGAAACGUACCGCCUGGGAAGUACGGUCGCAAGGCUGAAACUUAAAGGAAUUGGCGGGGGAGCACCACAACAGGUGGAGCCUGCGGUUUAAUCGGACUCAACGCCGGGAAACUCACCAGAUAAGACAGCUGAAUGAUAGUCGGGCUGAAGACUCUACUUGACUAGCUGAGAGGAGGUGCAUGGCCGUCGUCAGUUCGUACUGUGAAGCAUCCUGUUAAGUCAGGCAACGAGCGAGACCCA